Molecule: ribosomal RNA, 379 nt
Filed under: uncultured eukaryote
Lineage: Eukaryota
Description: partial 18S ribosomal RNA
Rfam family: Eukaryotic small subunit ribosomal RNA
Source: RNAcentral
CAAUAGCGUAUAUUAAAGUUGUUGCGGUUAAAACGCUCGUAGUUGGAUUUCUGUUGAGGGCAGCCGGUCCGCACUUCGUGCGUGUAUCUGGUUUGACCUCGGCAUCCUCUCAAAAUACGUUUCUGCGCUUGAUUGCGUGGAGCGGAGUUUGAGACUUUUACUUUGAGGAAAUUAGAGUGUUCACGGCAGGCAAUCGCCUUGAAUAUAUUAGCAUGGAAUAAUAAUAUAGGAUCUUGGUUCUAUUUUGUUGGUUUCUAGAGCUAAGAUAAUGAUUAAUAGGGACAAUUGGGGGCAUUCGUAUUAACGCGUCAGAGGUGGAAUUCUUGGAUUGCGUUACGACGAACUACUGCGAAAGCAUUUGCCAAGGAUGUUUUCAUUG